Molecule: ribosomal RNA, 441 nt
Filed under: uncultured bacterium
Lineage: Bacteria
Description: bacterial SSU rRNA
Rfam family: Bacterial small subunit ribosomal RNA
Source: RNAcentral
ACUCCUACGGGAGGCAGCAGUGGGGAAUAUUGGACAAUGGGCGAAAGCCUGAUCCAGCCAUGCCGCGUGUGUGAAGAAGGUCUUCGGAUUGUAAGCACUUUAAGUUGGGAGGAAGGGCAGUUACCUAAUACGUGAUUGUUUUGACGUUACCGACAGAAUAAGCACCGGCUAACUCUGUGCCAGCAGCCGCGGUAAUACAGAGGGUGCAAGCGUUAAUCGGAAUUACUGGGCGUAAAGCGCGCGUAGGUGGUUAGUUAAGUUGGAUGUGAAAUCCCCGGGCUCAACCUGGGAACUGCAUUCAAAACUGACUGACUAGAGUAUGGUAGAGGGUGGUGGAAUUUCCUGUGUAGCGGUGAAAUGCGUAGAUAUAGGAAGGAACACCAGUGGCGAAGGCGACCACCUGGACUGAUACUGACACUGAGGUGCGAAAGCGUGGGGAGC